This 476-nucleotide ribosomal RNA is filed under the name uncultured organism. RNAcentral describes it as "partial 16S ribosomal RNA". It matches the Rfam family "Bacterial small subunit ribosomal RNA", at positions 331 to 798 of the family's 1533-position model. The record is from RNAcentral.
GUACACUCCUGCGGGAGGCAGCAGUGGGGAAUAUUGCACAAUGGGCGCAAGCCUGAUGCAGCCAUGCCGCGUGUAUGAAGAAGGCCUUCGGGUUGUAAAGUACUUUCAGCGGGGAGGAAGGCGAUAAGGUUAAUAACCUUGUUGAUUGACGUUACCCGCAGAAGAAGCACCGGCUAACUCCGUGCCAGCAGCCGCGGUAAUACGGAGGGUGCAAGCGUUAAUCGGAAUUACUGGGCGUAAAGCGCACGCAGGCGGUCUGUCAAGUCGGAUGUGAAAUCCCCGGGCUCAACCUGGGAACUGCAUUCGAAACUGGCAGGCUAGAGUCUUGUAGAGGGGGGUAGAAUUCCAGGUGUAGCGGUGAAAUGCGUAGAGAUCUGGAGGAAUACCGGUGGCGAAGGCGGCCCCCUGGACAAAGACUGACGCUCAGGUGCGAAAGCGUGGGGAGCAAACAGGAUUAGAAACCCGGGUAGUCCCAU